GUCACAAUAGCUUGCAUUUAAAAACAAAAAACUUUUUUCACUGUUAUAGAUUGAAUAGCAGUGAGUUGUCUCAAAGCGGGUGUGUCAGCCCUACAGCGUGUACUCUGCCAGUACGCUGCCACCUCCUCUACUCCUCCUACUCCAUCCUCUUCCAUAACCUCCUCGGCUGAGUCCUCUUCUGCUGCUGCGUCUUGCUCCACAUCAACGGAUAGGGGACGUAACAGGGAUUAAACUGAUAAGAAUAGUACUACUUAACACACCACUCCUAUCUGGUAGCACAUUAGAUUGCAUGCGCAGUGCCCCAAAUUUGUUGUGAUCUGUGAGUAAGGUAAACGGUUGUCCAUACAAG
RNAcentral lists this long non-coding RNA (349 nucleotides) under Pelobates cultripes (western spadefoot toad). The record is from RNAcentral. Lineage: Eukaryota; Metazoa; Chordata; Amphibia; Anura; Pelobatidae.